CUAGACGUAGCUUAAUUUAAAAGCACUGAAUUUGUAAUUCACUGAAGGUUGACAUUAACCCGUCCAGG
Molecule: transfer RNA, 68 nt
Filed under: Cerion tridentatum costellata
Lineage: Eukaryota; Metazoa; Mollusca; Gastropoda; Stylommatophora; Cerionidae
Description: tRNA-Thr
Rfam family: tRNA
About the family: Transfer RNA (tRNA) molecules are approximately 80 nucleotides in length. Their secondary structure includes four short double-helical elements and three loops (D, anti-codon, and T loops). Further hydrogen bonds mediate the characteristic L-shaped molecular structure. tRNAs have two regions of fundamental functional importance: the anti-codon, which is responsible for specific mRNA codon recognition, and the 3' end, to which the tRNAs corresponding amino acid is attached (by aminoacyl-tRNA synthetases). tRNAs cope with the degeneracy of the genetic code in two manners: having more than one tRNA (with a specific anti-codon) for a particular amino acid; and 'wobble' base-pairing, i.e. permitting non-standard base-pairing at the 3rd anti-codon position.
Source: RNAcentral